AAUAGUUCCUUUCUAGAGUUCUAUAAUUUAAAGUGGUGUUAGUAAGAUAAUUAAUGCUACUUUUAAAGAACUAAUAUGUAAUAAGUAUUUAUUCUACAUGUCAAAAACUACAAGAUUGCAAAAAAGUCAAUAAUCUUUCGUUUCCUAAAGUACAGUUCAGCCAGAAAGAUAGUACAUUAUAAUAGAAUGUAGUUAAAGACACGCAUGUGUUCGUUGUUAAGGAUAAAUCAAAAGUACAUAUCUGUUCUCUAUUAUAAAUGAUUCAAACAGAUUCCUUUCUGAUUCAAAUUGUUAUUUUAAAUCUUGAACUAAUGUUAGUAACCCAUAGCGAUCUGAUUGAUUUUGUAAUCUUACUACAUAUAUCGAUUCCAUAAAUUAUAAUUUACAAUUCGUCCACGAAGAAAAGGCUAGGCACAAUAGUUACUAUUCUCCGUUAUUAGUCGAGGACGGUGACGAAAAUCGUCCUCGACCAAUAGCAGCUACGUGAACAUUUUGCCCUUUUUUCUCGCAGACGUAUACGUACUUCUCGAUUAUGUAACAUCUAUGUAAUUCGUAUCUACAUGCUAUUUUUCAAAAAGAUUGUGUCUGACACUGUAAUGAUAACUUACUAAAACUAUAAUUUACAUAGCAACAGUAUUACUACACAGAAUGCUGUAAUUCAUGUAUUCUUGAGUAUGUAGAUCUGUUUAAUUUUAAAUAUAACAUACUACACAGUAUUUCUACAAGUAUAACUACAUUCAUACAAGUAUAACUUAGUUCAUAAACCAAAUACAAUUUUUUUACAUAAAGAAAAGUUAGAUUUUUAUGACAUAUGUAUAUACAUAUCAGAUUUACAAAUAUAUCAUAGUGUUAUUAUAGUAUUACUUUAUUGAACCUGAACCAUGGUUUACAUAUGUAAAAUAUAUAUUAUACGAAAUUAGGAAUGCUAUUUGAACUCAUAUUCAAACUAUAAUAGAUGUAACAUUGUGUAAUUUCUAAUAGUAAUUUGUCUUGUUUUUAAUAUUAUAAUAGAAUAUAUAUUUAGGCUGCAAUUCCAACAACACCACAAGCAAGACGAGCUCCAGCAUUUCCUGUUGUUUUUGAUAAUUCAACUCCGCCUUUACCAAGGUCAUCUGGAUCUGCAUGAAC
Molecule: long non-coding RNA, 1128 nt
Organism: Bombus pyrosoma
Lineage: Eukaryota; Metazoa; Arthropoda; Insecta; Hymenoptera; Apidae
Exons: 2
Source: RefSeq, a predicted model, not a curated record